This 448-nucleotide ribosomal RNA is filed under the name uncultured bacterium. RNAcentral describes it as "bacterial SSU rRNA". It matches the Rfam family "Bacterial small subunit ribosomal RNA", at positions 328 to 792 of the family's 1533-position model. The record is from RNAcentral.
AGUCCAGACUCCUACGGGAGGCAGCAGUGGGGGAUAUUGCACAAUGGGGGGAACCCUGAUGCAGCGACGCCGCGUGGGUGAAGGAGUGCUUCGGCCUGUAAAGCCCUAUCGGCAGGGAAGAAGCAAGACGGUACCUGACUAAGAAGCCCCGGCUAACUACGUGCCAGCAGCCGCGGUAAUACGUAGGGGGCGAGCGUUAUCCGGAUUCACUGGGUGUAAAGGGAGCGUAGACGGCCAUGCAAGCCAGGGGUGAAAGCCCGGGGCCCAACCCCGGGACUGCCCUUGGAACUGCAUGGCUGGAGUGCGGGAGGGGCAGGCGGAAUUCCUGGUGUAGCGGUGAAAUGCGUAGAUAUCAGGAGGAACACCGGCGGCGAAGGCGGCCUGCUGGACCAUAACUGACGUUGAGGCUCGAGAGCGUGGGGAGCAAACAGGAUUAGAUACCCUUGUA